UGAGGAAUAUUGGACAAUGGGUGAGAGCCUGAUCCAGCCAUCCCGCGUGAAGGACGACAGCCCUAUGGGUUUUAAACUUCUUUUGUAUGGGGAUAAACCUAUCUACGAGUAGAUAGCUGAAGGUACCAUACGAAUAAGCAUCGGCUAACUCCGUGCCAGCAGCCGCGGUAAUACGGAGGAUGCGAGCGUUAUCCGGAUUUAUUGGGUUUAAAGGGUCCGUAGGCGGACUGAUAAGUCAGCGGUGAAAUCCUACAGCUUAACUGUAGAACUGCCGUUGAUACUGUUAGUCUUGAAUAGUAUUGAAGUAGCUGGAAUGUGUAGUGUAGCGGUGAAAUGCAUAGAUAUUACACAGAACACCCAUUGCGAAGGCAGGUUACUAAGUACCGAUUGACGCUGAUGGACGAAAGCGUGGGGAGCGAACA
This 422-nucleotide ribosomal RNA is filed under the name uncultured bacterium. Its description in RNAcentral is "bacterial SSU rRNA". It matches the Rfam family "Bacterial small subunit ribosomal RNA", at positions 355 to 774 of the family's 1533-position model. The record is from RNAcentral.